CCCCUCCCGCCGGGUCCCUGGGAGUUAGCUGGCUCCGGGAGGCUGGGGACACUGAAUUCUGCAUCAUCUUUUGGGCUGCGGCGAUACAACGCCCCCCAGCCCCGCGGCCCAGCCUCGGGGCAGCCAUGGACUCGCAGGAAUUGAAGACUUUGAUUAAUUACUAUUGUCAAGAGAGAUAUUUCCAUCAUGUGUUACUGGUUGCCAGUGAAGGAAUUAAGAGGUAUGGAAGUGAUCCAGUCUUCAGGUUUUAUCAUGCCUAUGGCACAUUAAUGGAAGGUAAAACUCAAGAAGCUCUUCGAGAAUUUGAGGCUAUUAAAAAUAAACAAGAUGUAUCACUUUGUUCUCUAAUUGCACUGAUAUAUGCCCAUAAAAUGAGUCCUAAUCCAGAUAGAGAAGCUAUUCUGGAAUCAGAUGCCAGAGUGAAGGAACAACGUAAAGGAGCUGGAGAGAAAGCCUUAUACCAUGCAGGCUUAUUUUUAUGGCACAUUGGUCGCCAUGAUAAAGCAAGAGAAUAUAUUGACAGAAUGAUCAAAAUGUCAGAUGGUAGUAAACAGGGACACGUUUUGAAAGCAUGGCUUGAUAUUACAAGAGGAAAAGACCCUUACACUAAAAAAGCACUGAAGUAUUUUGAAGAGGGACUCCAAGAUGGGAAUGAUACUUUUGCUCUGCUGGGUAAGGCACAAUGCCUUGAGAUGCGCCAGAAUUAUUCAGGUGCCCUGGAGACUGUGAACCAGAUAAUCGUGAACUUUCCAAGCUUCCUUCCCGCUUUUGUUAAGAAAAUGAAAUUACAACUAGCCUUGCAGGAUUGGGACCAAACAGUUGAGACAGCACAACGGUUGCUGCUCCAAGAUAGCCAAAAUGUGGAAGCACUGAGAAUGCAGGCACUCUACUAUGUGUGUAGGGAGGGGGAUAUAGAGAAGGCUUCCACCAAGCUGGAAAACUUGGGAAAUGCAUUGGAUGCCAUGGAACCACAGAAUGCUCAACUUUUCUAUAACAUUACACUCGCCUUCAGCAGAACUUGUGGACGUAGUCAACUCAUUCUUCAAAAAAUUCAAACGUUACUUGAGAGAGCUUUUAGUUUAAACCCUCAGCAAUCAGAAUUUGCUACAGAACUUGGAUACCAAAUGAUUUUACAAGGAAGAGUUAAAGAGGCACUGAAGUGGUAUAAGACCGCCAUGACACUUGAUGAGACUAGUGUGUCUGCCCUAGUUGGAUUUAUCCAAUGUCAGCUGAUAGAAGGGCAAUUACAGGAUGCAGAUCAGCAGCUAGAAUUUUUAAAUGAAAUUCAGCAGUCCAUUGGAAAAUCUGCGGAAUUAAUCUAUUUACAUGCAGUUCUUGCCAUGAAGAAAAAUAAACGACAAGAAGAAGUUAUUAAUUUGUUAAAUGAUGUCCUAGACACUCAUUUUUCACAAAUUGAAGGUUUGCCUCUUGGCAUACAGUAUUUUGAAAAGCUAAAUCCUGAUUUCUUGUUGGAAAUUGUUACGGAAUAUCUGAGCUUCUGUCCAAUGCAGCCUGCAAGUCCUGGGCAACCUCUUUGUCCACUUCUCAGGCGUUGUGUCUCAGUCCUGGAGACCGUAGUAAGAACUGUUCCAGGUCUUCUACAAACCGUCUUCCUAAUAGCAAAAGUGAAAUAUUUGUCAGGUGAUAUUGAAGCAGCUUUUAAUAACCUUCAGCAUUGCUUAGAACACAAUCCCUCUUAUGCCGAUGCUCAUCUGCUGCUAGCUCAGGUUUACUUGUCUCAAGAAAAAGUCAAAUUGUGUUCUCAGUCUCUUGAACUUUGUCUGAGCUAUGAUUUUAAGGUGAGAGAAUAUCCCUUAUAUCAUUUGAUAAAAGCUCAGUCACAAAAGAAAAUGGGAGAAAUAGCAGAUGCAAUUAAAACACUGCAUAUGGCAAUGAGUUUACCAGGAAUGAAAAGAAUUGGAGCUUCCACAAAAUCAAAAGACAGAAAAACUGAAGUUGAUACAAGCCAUCGUUUAUCGAUCUUUCUUGAAUUGAUAGAGCUUCACCGCUUAAAUGGAGAGCAGCAUGAGGCAGCCAAAGUUUUACAAGAUGCCAUCCAUGAAUUUUCUGGAACAUCUGAAGAAGUGCGGGUUACCAUUGCUAAUGCAGACCUAGCUCUAGCCCAAGGAGAUAUUGAACGGGCUUUAAGCAUCCUUCAGAAUGUUACAGCCGAACAGCCUUAUUUUAUAGAGGCCAGAGAAAAAAUGGCAGAUAUUUAUCUGAAGCACAGAAAAGAUAAAAUGUUAUAUAUCACUUGUUUUAGAGAAAUUGCUGAAAGAAUGGCUAACCCUCGGUCUUUUCUUCUCCUCGGUGAUGCAUACAUGAAUAUUCUAGAGCCUGAAGAAGCCAUAGUAGCAUACGAGCAAGCAUUAAAUCAGAACCCGAAAGAUGGGACAUUGGCAAGUAAAAUGGGCAAAGCACUUAUCAAAACUCAUAACUACUCAAUGGCAAUCACUUACUAUGAAACUGCUCUGAAAAGUGGACAAAAGAAUUAUCUUUGCUAUGACCUGGCUGAGCUCUUAUUAAAAUUGAAAUGGUAUGACAAAGCAGAAAAAGUUCUUCAACAUGCUCUGGCCCAUGAACCUGUAAAUGAACUGUCAGCUCUCAUGGAGGAUGGACGUUGUCAAGUUCUUCUAGCAAAAGUUUAUAGUAAAAUGGAAAGACCUGGUGAUGCGAUCACUGCAUUACAACAGGCUCGAGAAUUACAAGCUCGGGUACUAAAACGUGUUCAGAUGGAACAGCCAGAUGCAGUUCCUGCACAGAAACAUUUAGCAGCUGAAAUUUGUGCAGAGAUUGCAAAACAUUCUGUUGCUCAGCGAGACUAUGAAAAAGCAAUUAAGUUUUAUAGAGAGGCUCUGGUUCACUGUGAAACAGAUAAUAAGAUUAUGUUGGAACUGGCACGAUUAUACCUGGCACAAGAUGACCCUGAUUCCUGCCUGCGGCAGUGUGCUUUACUGCUUCAGAGUGACCAGGAUAAUGAAGCUGCUACCAUGAUGAUGGCUGAUCUCAUGUUCAGAAAACAAGACUAUGAACAAGCAGUGUUUCAUUUACAGCAGCUUUUAGAACGUAAGCCAGAUAAUUAUAUGACAUUAUCUCGUUUGAUUGAUCUCCUAAGACGAUGUGGAAAACUCGAGGAUGUCCCAAGAUUUUUCUCAAUGGCUGAGAAACGUAACUCCAGAGCAAAGUUGGAGCCAGGAUUUCAGUAUUGUAAAGGACUAUAUCUUUGGUACACUGGAGAACCAAAUGAUGCCCUUCGACAUUUUAAUAAAGCUCGGAAAGAUCGUGACUGGGGCCAAAAUGCCCUUUAUAAUAUGAUAGAAAUCUGUUUGAAUCCAGAUAAUGAAACUAUUGGAGGUGAAGUAUUUGAAAACCUGGAUGGAGACCUGGGUAAUUCAACUGAGAAGCAAGAAUCUGUGCAAUUGGCAGUAAGAACAGCAGAAAAACUUCUUAAGGAACUAAAACCUCAGACUGUUCAGGGUCACGUACAGCUUCGCAUAAUGGAAAACUAUUGCUUAAUGGCUACCAAACAGAAAUCUAACGUUGAACAAGCAUUAAAUACCUUCACUGAAAUAGCAGCAUCUGAGAAGGAUCAUAUCCCAGCACUCUUGGGAAUGGCAACGGCUUAUAUGAUCUUGAAACAGACUCCACGAGCCAGAAACCAGCUGAAACGUAUUGCGAAAAUGAAUUGGAAUGCUAUUGAUGCCGAAGAGUUUGAGAAGAGUUGGCUGCUACUUGCUGAUAUUUACAUUCAAUCAGCAAAAUAUGACAUGGCAGAAGAACUAUUAAAACGGUGCCUGCGUCAUAAUAGAUCUUGCUGCAAAGCUUAUGAAUACAUGGGAUACAUUAUGGAAAAAGAGCAAGCGUAUACAGAUGCUGCCUUGAACUAUGAGAUGGCAUGGAAAUACAGCAAUCGGACAAAUCCAGCAGUAGGAUACAAACUGGCAUUUAAUUACUUAAAAGCAAAAAGAUAUGUGGAUUCAAUUGACAUAUGUCACCAGGAUUUGAUUGCCUCAUGUGACAAGCCCAAGAUCUGUGACAGUUGGAGCUCAAACUAGGCAGUCUUGAUUCCAGACUCCUCUAAACUAGUAUUUCAAGGAACUAAUGCCCAUGACAUGUUAAAUGGAAGUUUGGGGACUUACACUCAGGAUGGAACCAGGGGGACCCAGCAGAAAUGAAAGAAUUUUCUGUGGAUCUGAGAUCGGGACACCUGCCCCCCUCAUGUGCACAUCAGUGAAUCUGGCUCAAUGCCCAUAAAAGCAAUCUGAUCCCAUAAAUGAAGGAUGCGAAGUAAUGAGCAGGUUCUAAAUGUCUUACUUCUGAGUGGUAUAACAUGAGACUCGAUGGCAAUCCUUAAACCAGGCUGCUUUCAAAUAGUGGCACCCUCAGUCAUCACAACCAUUAGACUGGACGUCUGUCUCCAUGGAGAAUAUGUGAAUACCUCCGAAUAUACUUCCUGAAGGAGCUGCCAAACUAUUUUCAGCAAUGGCAAAACAUAGAACGAAUCCAAGCCAUUUGACCGAUAUUCACUGAAGACCUAUUCUAUGCCAAGCACUGUGCCAGGCAGAGGGAAAGCCCUCAUAUCGGGCAGAGCUGGUCUUCUCCAGUAGAUCUUGUGAGACUUAUUGGCUUUCAUUCUGUCUUGCCACUGCCAUGUAAGUAGUAGGUUUUGCCUUCCACUAUGAUUAUGAGGCCUCCCCAACCAUGUGGAACUAUGAAUUUAUUAAACCUCUUGUAUUAGUCUAUUUCCAUGCUGGUGAUAAAAGACAUAUACCUGAGACUGGAUAGUUUACAGAAAAAAGAAGUUUAAUGGGACUUACAGUUCCACAUGCCUGAGAAGGCCUCACAAUCAUGGUGGAAGCCAAGGAGAAGCAAGUCAACUCUUACAUGGAUAGCAGUAGGCAAAAAGAGAGAGCUUGUGCAGGAAAUUCCUCCUUAUAAUACUGUCAGAUAUUAUGAGACCUAUUUGCUAUCACAAGAACAGCACAGAUAUUAUGAGACUUAUUCUCUAUCACAAAAACAG
This is an RNA transcript of Cercocebus atys (sooty mangabey), 5020 nucleotides long. It is a transcript of the gene named tetratricopeptide repeat domain 21B, with no coding region annotated. The transcript is spliced from 32 exons. The record is from RefSeq and is a predicted model, not a curated record. NCBI's taxonomy places the organism in Eukaryota, Metazoa, Chordata, Mammalia, Primates, Cercopithecidae.